AAAUCCUAUAAAUAUAGACCAAACCAUAUCGACUAACCAUCCUAAAACAAAACUUCUUAGCAUGAUUCACCAGAGCUGUAGGUUCAAGAGAGCAUAGAUGUAAAUGGUGACGUCCUCGAUACGGGUGAAAUCGACGUCAUGCAAUGUCUUGGAAACAAAAAGAAAAGAGUGAAGUUUAUGUUAAGGGACAUGAUCGUGUUUUAGUAUUAUAUGUGUAUUGUUAGUUAAACUAACUUCAUGUGUAUCUAGACUUUGCAGGUUUUUGUAGCGUUAGAGAUGUUCCUCUCAUGGGUGAUUUACAAGAAGAUAUCAAGUGGUUAACUUAAGACGAGAUUUCGUAUUGAUGAACAAUUGACAACUGACCAAGGCUUGCAAAGAGUGAUAUACUCUGAAACAUUGGCAGAAACCAAUGGAAGCUUGUGUUGUGUUCCAUUUUUAUUACAUACAAGGCUAAUGCCCAUGAGACAAAGGCUUUAAUGUGCCAAAUGUUAUAAUAAAGUUUUUGGGGAUCAACACUAAACUUUGUUCGAGCAUAU
This is a long non-coding RNA of Raphanus sativus (radish), 536 nucleotides long. RefSeq lists it as uncharacterized. The transcript is spliced from 3 exons. The record is from RefSeq and is a predicted model, not a curated record. Lineage: Eukaryota; Viridiplantae; Streptophyta; Magnoliopsida; Brassicales; Brassicaceae.